RNAcentral lists this ribosomal RNA (468 nucleotides) under uncultured bacterium. RNAcentral describes it as "partial 16S ribosomal RNA". It matches the Rfam family "Bacterial small subunit ribosomal RNA", at positions 28 to 507 of the family's 1533-position model. The record is from RNAcentral.
GACGAACGCUGGCGGCGUGCCUAAUACAUGCAAGUCGAACGGACAGGCCCUGCUCUUGUGGGGUGCUCGUGUGGCGAACGGGUGUGUAAAACGCGAGUAAACUGCCCUUGUCUUUGGGAUAACUUCACGAAACUCGGGCUCAUACACGGUAGGAGAUCUUGCUGCGUGGUGGGGGUUGGAAAAUUUCGGUGGUUGGGGCUGGUCUCGAGGGUUAUCAGCUUGUUGGUGAGGUAGUGGCUUACCAGGGCUUUGACGGGUAGCCGGCGUGGGAGGGUGACCGGCCACAUUGGUACUGAGAUACGGCCCAGAAUCGUACGGGCGGCAGCAGUGGGGAAUAUUGCACAACGGCCGGAAGCCUGUUGUAGCAAUGCCGCGUGCGGAAUGACGUCUUUCGGGUUGUAAACCGCUGUCGACGGUGAUGAAGCCUGCUUGACGGUAAUGGGUCAAGAAGCACCGGCUAACUACGUG